RNAcentral lists this long non-coding RNA (898 nucleotides) under Triticum aestivum (bread wheat). Its description in RNAcentral is "long non-coding RNA (TAES_LNC027636)". Lineage: Eukaryota; Viridiplantae; Streptophyta; Magnoliopsida; Poales; Poaceae. The record is from RNAcentral.
AAAAAAAUCAAUUGUUAUUCUCAGGAGCUCAUUUUGUGCUUUGAUCACUCUAGCCCCGAUGAUCCAAGAACAAAGCUUAGGAAGCAAAUAACUCCGCUCUAGAGUCGAUUAACCGAAAAGGCCUCCCAUCAUAUGAAAGGUCGUACAGUGCACACGCUAACUCUAGAGCAUGGGACAACACUAACCAUCAGUGACCACACGGCUAACUAGAGAGUAAUUGCAAAAACAACAGGUCAAUAUGUAUCCAUGUCACAUUACACAACUAUGCUCAAAACAACAGGUCAAUAUGUAUCCAUGUCACAUUACACAACUAUGCUCAAACAGUAAAAACGCUCGGAGCAUAAGAUUUUCGGCUCCAUAACCCACAAGUCACCAAGUUUCAGAAGUAAGAGGACGGAUCCAAGAGAUGAAGGUCUCAUCUAGAACAGAAGGAACGGAAUAUUGGAUGGGUAUAAAAGCAGUAACCCACCCUGCAGGGCUCUAGCGUCAAGCUCUCAAAUUCAUUGCUCUGAAAGCCAUACCCCCUCAGUAGUCAUCCGGGUCAUCAGAUGCGUCGCUGAACCCAUCAUCACUCUGUUUGCUGUCAGACUCACUCAUUGCGUAAGGAUCAUACUCUCUCCAUUCUGGAUUUCUCUUCACCCUCUUCUCAAAGAUGCGCAGCUCCUUCGACUGUUCCUCGUCGGCACGUAUCCUCUCCGCACGGUCCCGCUUUUCAAUUUCAUCAUAGAAGGCAAUAUUUAUAUUGUCUAGACUAAUCCCAUUGACUACCAGAACACUUAGCAGCUUAUCGAUUCUUCCAUCACCCUCUGAACAUUGUAUGACAACACUUUCAAGGAGUGGACACUGGAAGGUCAUCCCGUCAAUUGGCAUGCAAUCUAUUUCCGCUCCUUCAUCAAGC